UAAGUAGGCGGAGGAAAUGACACAAACAUGGAUUCACUGAGUAACUGCGAGUGACAUGUGAUUUGCUCACAGCUGAUAUUCUUUGCUGUCUGCUUUGACAUGAGGACUUUGAGUGCGGUGCCAAUGGUGGUGUAAGUGUGAGCCAUCUUGGAAAAGAGGAGAGUGUGCACUGACAAGGGUGAGAAGCCUGUGUGUGCUUGCAAAAUCUCCAUAUGGGGGUCACGCUUUGAGAAUCAUGCUCUUUGGAAGUGGAGUGUAAAGUGGGUGGUAGACUCUUCUCAAAGCUGAGUACAGAACUGGGACCGACAGGGAAGAAGUACCAUGAGGGAAGUGUGAAAAGGACUUUGGAAAGAGACUUAAAAGAGCCUGUACUUGCUGAAGGAUAUGCAUACAGCAUGCUUGCAUGUGAGAUGAUUGCUGUGUGUAUGAGUCUGACUUUGGCUGGAUGGCCAUGGCCGUGUGCCAUGGACACUUGGCCACCCAAUGUGUAUCCUCUUGUGUGUGCCAGCAUGUGGGAGACAGUCAGUGUUUGAGUGCAGUGGUUGCUGUGUCUGGGGAUACAUCAGAUGUGCACUCAAAGAUCUGAGCAUGUUGAGAAGCAGGUGCAGAAGGGCCCUCCUGUCUGUAUGACCCGUCUUGAAACACGGACCAAGGAGUCUAGCAUGAGUGCAAGAAUAUGGGACCGAAGGCUCUGUGUGCAAUGAAGGUGGAGUCCCAGAUUUGUGCAUGAGUGUUCAAACAAGCAGGAGGACAAGGUUUGAGUCUGAGCAUUCCUGACAGGACCCGAAAGAUGGUGAACUAUGCCCGGAAAGGGCCAAGUCAGGGGAAACUCUGGUGGAGGCUCGUAGCGUUACUGACGUGCAAAUCGUUCGUCACACCUGGGUAUGGGGGCGAAAGACUAAUCGAACCAUCUAGUAGCUGGUUCCCUCUGAAGUUUCCCUCAGGAUAGCUGAACUUGCAGGACUUUCACCAGGUAAAGCGAAUGAUUGGAGGAAUUGGGGGUUGCAGACCUUUGACCUAUUCUCAAACUUUUAAUGGGUGUGUUGUGUGGUUGCUUAGCUGAACCAACAGCUAAUGAUGACUCUUAGUGGGCCACUUUUGGUGAGCAGAACUGGCGAUGAGGGGUGAACCUGAUGAUGGGUUAAGGCACUGAAGUUCUUGCUCAUCAGAAACUGUAAAGGGUGUUGGCUCAUUCUGACAGCAGGUCGGUGGUCAUGGAAGUUGAAAUCCGCUUGGGGGUGU
RNAcentral lists this ribosomal RNA (1242 nucleotides) under Gambierdiscus sp. MMEG9. Its description in RNAcentral is "eukaryotic LSU rRNA". It matches the Rfam family "Eukaryotic large subunit ribosomal RNA", at positions 43 to 1281 of the family's 3401-position model. Lineage: Eukaryota; Dinophyceae; Gonyaulacales; Pyrocystaceae. The record is from RNAcentral.